AAUUUUGGACAAUGGGGGAAACCCUGUUCCAGCCCUCCCGCGUGUAUGAUGAAGGCCUUCGGGUUGUAAAGUACUUUUGGGAGAGAAGAAAAGGUAUCCCCUACUACGGGAUACUGCUGUAGGUAUCUGCAGCAUACGCACCGGAUAACUCCGUUCAAGCAGCCGCGGUCAGACGUAGGGUGCAAUCGUUAAUCGGAAUUACUGGGCGUAAAGCGUGUGUAGGCGGUUCGGAAAGAAAGAUGUGAAAACCCAGGGCUCAACCUUGGGACUGCAUUUGUAACUGCCGAGCUAGAGUAUGUCAGAGGGAGGUAGAAUUCCACGUGUAGCAGUGAAAUGCGUAGAUAUGUGGAGGAAUACCGAUGGCGAAGGCAGCCCCCUGGGAUAAUACUGACGCUCAGACACGAAAGCGUGGGGAGCAAACAGG
This 424-nucleotide ribosomal RNA is filed under the name uncultured bacterium. RNAcentral describes it as "partial 16S ribosomal RNA". It matches the Rfam family "Bacterial small subunit ribosomal RNA", at positions 360 to 776 of the family's 1533-position model. The record is from RNAcentral.